This 1429-nucleotide ribosomal RNA is filed under the name Melanconiella hyperopta. RNAcentral's name for it is "partial 28S ribosomal RNA". It matches the Rfam family "Eukaryotic large subunit ribosomal RNA", at positions 1 to 1428 of the family's 3401-position model. The record is from RNAcentral. Lineage: Eukaryota; Fungi; Ascomycota; Sordariomycetes; Diaporthales; Melanconiellaceae.
AUUGACCUNNNNNNNNNNNNNNNNNNNNNNNNNNNNNNNNNNNNNNNNNNNNNNGAGGAAAAGAAACCAACAGGGAUUGCCCUAGUAACGGCGAGUGAAGCGGCAACAGCUCAAAUUUGAAAUCUGGCCCCCCCGGGCCCGAGUUGUAAUUUGCAGAGGAUGUUCUCUGGCGCGGUGCCUUCCGAGUUCCCUGGAAUGGGACGCCACAGAGGGUGAGAGCCCCGUACGGUCGGACUAACCAAGCCUGUGUGAGACUCCUUCGACGAGUCGAGUAGUUUGGGAAUGCUGCUCUAAAUGGGAGGUAAAUCUCUUCUAAAGCUAAAUACUGGCCAGAGACCGAUAGCGCACAAGUAGAGUGAUCGAAAGAUGAAAAGCACCUUGAAAAGGGGGUUAAACAGUACGUGAAAUUGUUGAAAGGGAAGCGCUCCUGACCAGAAACUUGGGCCGGGCGGCUCAGCAGGGGCUCGCCCCCUGUGUACUCCGUCCCGGUUCCGGGCCAGCAUCGGUUCUCGCUGGGGGACAAGAACGGUGGGAACGUGGCCCCCCCUCGGGGGGGUGUUAUAGCCCGCCGUAACGAUACCCUGGUGGGGACCGAGGAUUCCGCGCUUCGGCAAGGAUGCUGGCAUAAUGGUCAUCAGCGACCCGUCUUGAAACACGGACCAAGGAGUCGUCCAUUAGAGCGAGCGUUUGGGUGUCAAAACCCGUAGCGCGUAAUGAAAGUGAAAUUCUAGGUGAGAACCUCCUCGCGGGGGCGCAUCAUCGACCGAUCCUGAUGUUCUCGGACGGAUUUGAGUAAGAGUUUUAACGGACGGACCCGAAAGACAGUGAACUAUGCUUGUAUAGGGUGAAGCCAGAGGAAACUCUGGUGGAGGCUCGCAGCGGUUCUGACGUGCAAAUCGAUCGUCAAAUAUGAGCAUGGGGGCGAAAGACUAAUCGAACUGUCUAGUAGCUGGUUACCGCCGAAGUUUCCCUCAGGAUAGCAGUGUUGACCUUCAGUUUUAUGAGGUAAAGCGAAUGAUUAGGGACUCGGGGGCGCUAUUUAGCCUUCAUCCAUUCUCAAACUUUAAAUAUGUAAGAAGCCCUUGUUACUUAAUUGAACGUGGGCAUUCGAAUGUUACCAACACUAGUGGGCCAUUUUUGGUAAGCAGAACUGGCGAUGCGGGAUGAACCGAACGUGGGGUUAAGGCGCCAGAGUAUACGCUCAUCAGACACCACAAAAGGCGUUAGUACAUCUUGACAGCAGGACGGUGGCCAUGGAAGUCGGAAUCCGCUAAGGACUGUGUAACAACUCACCUGCCGAAUGUACUAGCCCUGAAAAUGGAUGGCGCUCAAGCGUAUCGCCCAUACCCCACCCUCAGGGUAGACACGAUGCCCUGAGGAGUAGGCGGCCGUGGGGGUUUGUGACGAAGCCUAGGGCGUGAGCCCGGGU